AGCGCAGCGGUAGCGCGGCGGACUCAUAAUCCGCAGGCCGUGGGUUCGAUUCCCACCCCCGCAACCA
This 67-nucleotide transfer RNA is filed under the name Bryobacteraceae bacterium. Its description in RNAcentral is "tRNA-Met". It matches the Rfam family "tRNA", at positions 9 to 71 of the family's 71-position model. From Rfam's summary of the family: Transfer RNA (tRNA) molecules are approximately 80 nucleotides in length. Their secondary structure includes four short double-helical elements and three loops (D, anti-codon, and T loops). The record is from RNAcentral. Lineage: Bacteria; Pseudomonadati; Acidobacteriota; Terriglobia; Bryobacterales; Bryobacteraceae.